CCAACAUUUAUGACCCGGUCGUGAUGCUAAGACCAGCUCGUAUGCGGAAGUGCUUAAACAUGCCCAGUUGGCCGAAGAUCUUAUCUCGACCAAGCACCAAUGCUUUGCCCGAGUCCAUACCCAACACCUUUAUAAAAAACUGCCCUCAGCGAUAAAAGGAUGUUGCCCAACCCGUAGCACAAGGUCGAGUGUAGCACUUAGAUGAAUCUGAUGUCCUU
This 218-nucleotide long non-coding RNA is filed under the name Carica papaya (papaya). RNAcentral describes it as "long non-coding RNA (CPAP_LNC014524)". Lineage: Eukaryota; Viridiplantae; Streptophyta; Magnoliopsida; Brassicales; Caricaceae. The record is from RNAcentral.